GGCAAACCUGCUCCUGCAGCACUGGGCUUGAACUCUGUCAGAGAGAUGCUGUCAAUCAUUUUUUUGGAGUCAUGGUGAGUGUGUGGUCUCACCCUGCUAAGAGAAAAACUGAUGCACCUUAAGGAUUCAUGCUUAUUUUGGGUAGAGGACAGAAUUGUAGUUUUUUCUCCCUCAUUUCCCUCCUUGGUUUUUACCUUUCUUAAAGCAUGUGCCAUUAGCACGGACAAGUUUGCUAAUCUCUCUGAGCAGAGUUUUGUCUUAAAGCUGCAGUAUGGAACUUUUAGUUAGGCGACCCUGUGGAAAAAGUGAUAACUCUUAAUGUUUUGUCCUGUGCAUGUGAAAAUAGUGUUUUUAGACCAUCUCCUCACCCUGUUGCCAUGCAGCAGAGAAACAUCUCACUCUGUCUGAAUAUUUGCCGUGAGAGAAGUAAACACGGGAUUUACUUCAGCCUGCUGUCAAUCAUCCUCACAGCAGUUUCAGACAUCAAAAAUUACUACAGAGUAAUUGUCAUCCUUGGCAGUCUGUUUUGCUUCUGGGGGUCAUGCAGAGACAUCAGUACCAAUUUUUCAGCUAGACUGAUCUGUCACAGACAAUGAUGUGAUAUAUUCAUUUUUGCUUCCUCAAAAAUUAUUUCUAAAAGUAAAAUAAUCUGAAGCUUUUGUCAGAAAAACAAGACUGAGAAAGACUCUUUGCUCAAUCACAUUUGAUCCUUAAAAGAGUUUAAAAGAUUUUUAGUGCUCUGACUUUUCCACUGUCUUGUAAAAAAAAGAAUAGACCCCUUUGGCUUUAUUCUUUGUAUCAUUAUGACCUUAAAUUUCCUGUUUGUAUCACAUUUUGGUAUAUGAUAAAAUCCUUGGGUAGGUCUGGUUUCAAUCCCCAGAUUAUUUGUGUCAGAAGGGCAGUCCUCUUUCUUUAAGUCCUCUCAAUGAAAACCCCCUGUACGUCUAUGUGAACAAUGAAGCAGCUUAAGUACAGACUCUGACCUGAUUGACAAAACAUAAAAUGACCUCGUGGUUGUCUUGAAUGAUAAUUCAAAUCAUCAACUUUGAGGAGGCAGCCCAAGAGGCGGCAGUAGUUCAAGACACUUAACCCACCUUUCUUCCAGUGUGUGUCCUCCACCGGUGUAUGAUUGAGAGUGAUAUUUGGUGGUGGUCGGAGAGCUGACUGUCCCAGCUGUGACUAUUAAGGUAGUUUACCACCACCAGGGUGUGACUGUCAAUCAAUGAAUGAUGUAUCUAAUGUAAAGUGCUUUGAGGGUCUCUGAUUAAAAGUGCUGCAUUAAAUCUGAUGCAUUAUUACUAUUAUUAAAAGAUAAUGACAUUCAGUGAUUUAUGUUUUCAAAGUUCAGCAGACAAACGGCCUCACCAGUACUGACAAUUAACUAUUCAGCUAUGAUUUAUUCUUCAGAACUCAAAAAGCAUCACAUAAAACACAUAAAACACUUGUAUAUAUCAAAACCAUUAGGGAAAAGAGAAGAGAGGACAAUGACUGCAUGUUGUGGAGUGACAUUAUAACUUUCAGGGUUGAUGUAAUGUCUUUAAAUGAACAGAUAGCUAGAGAGGACAUCAGUUCACACUUACAAGUGCUAUCAAUGAUUUUUGACCUCCUGACAGUUAAAUAAGUCCUAACCUUUUCCCCAAUAUGGCACCAGUGACAUGUUGAGUCACUGCGCAGGAAGCUCGCCCGUGGUCUUGUGUGUGUGUGAUCUCUUUAUUCAUUCAUCACAGUGAGCUGCUGCAAGAGGUGACUGUGGAGACAAAGACUGUGACAAUUAAAGAGAAAGUCGGAAAUUGUGCCGGAUGACUUUGGGGCACAAUGGCAGAGCUCUCUAAAUGUCUCAACCAGGUUAGAUAAGGAAAGACAUAGUUAACAUUUGAUUCAAUUCUAUUGUUAGUGCAUCAUUGUAAUUCAUCUACUCACAGUUUUCUCGCUAAAUCACGCAAAAAAACUCCCUGAAUUUGGGGUAAAGGGUUCAAAAUGCUCUUAAGAUAAAGAUGUGUGUGAAAGAUAGAUACUACGAAGUAAACAUUACAAUCUACUUGUUAGUCAGAAUGAUAGAUUAAGCUAAAGAAGAAUAUUAAAUAUUUGGGUACCAAGCAUUAUGUUGAGGUUAUGUGUCAGGAAGAUAAAAUCUGUGACAUCUAGAAAAUAUAUAUAUAUAUAUUUUUUCAAUUAAAUCUUAAGAUUUCAUUAUUUCUGUAAGGAAAAACCCAAAACAGGGAAAAAAAUUCAAAAAUUCAAACUAAUUUUUUCUGCACAAACACCAGAAAGAAAGAACAAAGAAAAGAAAAAAACAUGUGAGAUUCACUGAGAUUUUGAGGUUUCAAGGUGUGGAAGUACUGUGAGUCUCUUUUAAAAUUCUCAAAACCCUGAAUAUCUAAAAAGUGAAAUAAAGUUCUGUUAGUGUCAAUGUCUGACAAAAUAUGAGACUUGUCUUCUGUUUGUCCUUUUGCACACAGUUAUUUUUUUUUUAUUCUACUGAUCCCCGCAUUCUGUCAAUAUUUCAUUAUUAAAUCAUUAAAUCCACAGCUCUGUCAUGUCAAUCCUGAUUAAUCAGAUAAAUCCCUGUCCUUAGUGUAAGAUUUUUCAAUUCUCAAAACAAACCCUCAAAAGUUUUUGCUGCUAUUUUUAACUAUAUAGGAAGUUAUUUUUCAUAGAAAGGGGACAAACUUUUGUUUCUUGAGCCUCUUGAAUGUUUUUAUAAACUGGUUUUGGACUCACAAAGAUCUGAGCAUACUUCUUGAUAAGUUUCCCCUCUUUUCUGACACAUCUGUUGAUUAAAAAAUGGCAGAGCUGGCAAAAAACAGCCCAAAUCCUCCAUGAUAAAAACAAUGCCCCUUUGUACAUGAAAAGCCCUCUUUGUCUGGGUAUCUUUGAUGCCAGCUGUCAGCUUAAAGGACUCAGCUCUGAAAGGAAAAAAUGAGCCUUUUUCCCGAUCAUGCGUUAAACUGAUAGUGAAUCCAGGAAUCCGCCUUUUCCCGCUCUUCCUUUUAAGUUGUGCAAGAGUUAGCAUUGAUAGCGCCGGUUCUCUGCCUUGAAAGCAGAUAAAACUCGACUCUCUAAUAAUAAAGAGCACCUGGCCUUUUCAGACCACCAUUCGUGAUUCAUCAGGAAGGAAAAUUCCCUGAAUCAGUUUGCGAUUGGAAGGACCUGCAUCUGCCGCUCGGAGAAUGUGAUGAUUCGGGACAAAAGCUACAGAGGAACAGCAGAAAUCACUCUGGCACCUGACUUUUUCCAGCCCACAUCUCUGGCGCUCAGACAAGGAUUAACUUCCACUUUGCUCCUCUCUUCCUGGGCUCAAGUCUAUCCCAACAACUCGGCACUUCAAAGGGGGGAGAUAAAAAGGGGCGAUGGAUGGUCAUUCUUCAGGGGGAAUUGGCUUAGAGAGGCUCUGUUUAAAAUGGCAGGAAUACACAAAGGAAAGCUGUUUUGAUGUGCUGCAGAGCGUCAGUGUCCGAGCAGCUGUACAGUAAGACUGCCAGACUUCUGCCCUCCAGAGUCUGAGCUGCACAAUACUGUCAGGAUGCCAGGAAAUACAGUAAGAGCCUGACAGUAAACACAUCACUGCAGCAGUUUUGACAGGUGUCUGCAAAUACACAAGACAAAACUUUAGACAAGAGAUUAAGAAGCGAAGGGCAAGGUGGAAGACCUGAAAUUAAAAACAGAGCUGACCUUACAUCUAGAUGGGUUUGAUGAUGUUAAUUUAUCUACCAAAUACUCAAAAUAUAAAUCACUUUUCUUCUGUAAAUCCAAACAGGACAAAGUCAAAAUUGCUUUACUAUGAAAACCUGAUUGUUCAUUUCUAUCAUAGCUGUCUGAUAUGGUGUGAAAGUUCAGGUUUACAGGUUCCACUUGUCAUAGAAAUCUGCCCAUCUGUUACAUAUACUGAUCAUGUAACAGUCUGCUCUGCCCCUCUCCUGCUCUGCUACUCAGCCACACCCCUCAUCAGCUAACUGCUUCCACCUGCUGCUCUCACCUGCUCAUCAUCUCCAAUCAGGCCAGUAUAUAUGCAGCUUCUUUCCCCUCACUCUUUGCCAGAUUGUCUUCGCUCUCAUGCCUGACUCUCCAGCGUUAAUUCCCGGACUGCUUACCUGGUAUCGACCUGAUCUGCCCCUGACCUUUGCUUCUCGCCUCAGCCCCGGUAAACCUGCCUGCCUUCUGUCCUUGACUACGAGCUUUGCCUCCCUGUUUCCUGCUAUUCGUCUGCCUGCGGCUGAAUGGCACUCAGCCUGUUCCUGCUCUGUUGAGAUCCCCCUUCUCGUCAGCUUCACCUCGCCAACUCACCUCCUCUGCCGACGUUGGUUCUGCCAGCUCCUCUGCAAGCUCUGGAUCCUCACCCAGUCCUCACCUGAACCACUCUCCAAGAAAUCUUCCUCCAGCUGUGAGUUGAGCGUUUUCCCCUUCACUACACUCGUGGAGCAAAUUAAGACUGUGGACAAUUCCCUGCUCACGAGUCCAAAACUCUUGCCUGACCUGUGGUCCACUGCUAAUCUGCUCGCCUAUCACCCGGAAGACCCGAGUUCGAAUCCUGCCAUACCCACCUGCUAUACUCUGCUGCUUCAUUGGAUUUGGUGUUCAAUAAAGACUGUUGUUAAAGUGAACCUGCUUGUUUGUGCUGCAAUUGGGUCCAGUCAAUACCCGUUACAGUACAAUCUGGCCAAACUAUGGACCCAGCACACAAUCCCUCACCACUGAAUUGCCUUGAGAGAAUUGAGGGCGUUCUGCAGCAACAUGAGGCCAUGAUGACUGCAGCUGCCACUGAAGCCAGACGAGCUGCUGAGACUCAGGGACAAUCACUUGCAGCGUUAGCCGCACAGAUGCAACAGCUAGCAGCUCAACUGACCCAGCUCCCCUCAUCUGCUGGAUCUGCCUUUUCUUCAGAAGCUUCACCUUCUGCUCCUGCACCUGUACCCGCCUCUUCUCUACCCAGCGAUGCUCCUGAGCCACGGGUGGGAACCCCAGAGCAUUAUGAUGGAGAUCGAGAGACUUGCGGCCCCUUCCUAACCAACUGUUCUCUCCUGUUUGCCCUACAGCCCCGCACCUUCGCCACAGAACCGGCGAAGGUAGCGUUUGUCAUCAACCACCUGACAGGCAGAGCUAGACUAUGGGGAACAGCUGAGUGGGAGAGGCGGUCUCCAGCCUGUGUUUCCUUUGACCUGUUUGCUGCCGAGCUUCGGAAGGUUUUUGGGUUUGAGAAUUCUGGUUCUGAUUCGGCAAGGGGACUGAUGGGACUGAAGCAAGGCGAACGAACAGUGGCUGACUAUUCCAUUGAUUUCCGCACCAGAGCCAGCCAAAGUGGAUGGAACAGUGCAGCUCUCCGUGAUGCCUUUCUCCAUGGGUUGGCAGAUUACAUUAAAGAUGAACUGGUUUCACAUGACGCCUCCCUCACCUUGGACGGGGUGAUUGACUUGGCCGUCCGUAUCGACCUUCGUGUUCAGACUCGUCGACGAGAGAAGCGUCAAGGAGGAACCCAACAUUCUCGUCUACCUCGCUCCCGUGGGGGUGCUGCUGCACCCAACUCCACCCCCUUGGGUCAGCAGUUUGAGGAUCCAGAGCCCAUGCAGUUGGGCCGCACCUCUCUCUCCCUGGAAGAGAGAGAGCGUCGACGCAAGUCUAAUCUCUGCCUCUAUUGUGGGGCAGCGGGACACUACAUCUCCGGCUGUCCAGCAAAAGCCAGAGCUCAUCAGUAGUUGGGGAGACCAUGGUGAGCUCAACUACCCUGUCACCUCCCCAAAGCCAGCGACCCCUGCUCCAAGGCCGCCUCCUUCUUCCAGAUGGCCCCCACACCUUGGCUAUCUUCAUUGACUCCGGGGCUGAUGCCACCAUCAUUGACGAGGAGGUGGUCCUUCAGCUGGGGCUUGAGCGGGUUCCUUUUGCCUCACCCGGUUCCUGCUCGAGCCUUAGAUGGACAUGUCCUGGGCACCGUCACGCAUCAGACCUCUCCUGUUCACCUGCUACUGUCUGGUAACCAUCAUGAAACCGUCCAGUUUCACAUCCUGAGCUCUUCCUGCCUGCCACUUAUCCUGGGAUAUCCAUGGCUCCGUCUUCACAAUCCUCACAUCGACUGGGCAACUGGGACCAUCCGGGAGUGGAGUUCCUCCUGUCAUCAGAGGUGCCUGCAGCAAGCCUCAGUUCCGCUUCAUCCCUCUGGGUGUCACCUGACCUCAGUGGGGUGCCACCCGAGUACCAUGACUUCUGCCAGGUCUUCAGCAAAGCCAGAGCCACCUCUCUGCCUCCACACCGACCCUAUGAUUGCGUCAUUGAUCUCCUGCCUGGUUCAUCACCUCCCAAGGGUCGCCUGUGCUCCCUGUCUGAACCCGCAAGAAGGGCCAUGGAGACGUACAUAAAUGACUCCUUGGCCGCAGGCAUCAUUCGUCCCUCUUCAUCCCCUGCUGGAGCAGGGUUUUUCUUUGUUGAGAAGAAGGACAAGUCAUUGAGACCUUGCAUAGAUUAUAGAGGACUGAAUGAGAUCACGGUAAAGAACCGUUACCCACUGCCACUCAUGUCCACUGCCUUUGAACUGCUCCAGGGGGCCACCAUUUUCUCCAAACUCGACCUACGCAACGCCUACCUCCUCGUCCGCAUCAGAGAAGGAGAUGAAUGGAAGACGGCAUUCAACACCCCUACCGGACACUACGAGUACCUCGUAAUGCCGUUUGGCCUCACCAAUGCCCCUGCCGUCUUCCAGGCUCUGAUUAAUGAUGUUCUCCGAGACAUGAUAAACCAGUAUGUCUUUGUUUACCUAGAUGAUAUACUCAUCUUCUCCCGGUCCAAGGAGCAACACAUUCAUCAUGUCCAGUCCGUCCUUCAGCGCCUCUUGGAGAACUCCCUUUAUGUUAAAGCAGAAAAGUGCGAGUUCCAUGUUCCUUCAGCAUCUUUUCUGGGGUACAUUGUGGCACAAGGCAGCAUCCAGAUGGACCCAGCCAAGGUCUCAGCUGUUACCUCCUGGCCUGUUCCGGAGAACCGCAAGCAGCUUCAGCGCUUCCUUGGGUUCGCCAAUUUCUACCGUCGCUUCAUCCGCAACUACAGCUCAGUUGCAGCCCCUCUCACCAUUCUGACCUCCCCCAAGGUGCCCUUCCAGUGGUCUUCUGCAGCUGCAGCGGCCUUCCAGUUCCUCAAGGAUCGGUUCACCUCAUCGCCCAUCCUCCUGAUGCCUGACUCUGAACGCCAGUUUGUGGUCGAGGUAGAUGCCUCUGAUGUUGGGGUGGGGGCCGUCUUGUCUCAACGCUCAUGCACUGACCAGAAGCUCCAUCCCUGUGCCUUCUUCUCCCGCCGUCUAUCCUCUGCAGAAAGAAACUAUGACAUUGGUAACAGGGAACUCUUGGCAGUAAAGAUGGCCUUAGAAGAGUGGCGCCAUUGGUUGGAGGGCACGAAGGAACCUUUUCUUGUAUGGACUGACCACAAGAAUCUGGAGUACAUACGCUCUGCAAAAAGACUGAACUCUUGCCAGGCCCGCUGGUCCCUGUUCUUCGCCCGUUUUAACUUCACCCUCUCUUACCGUCCUGGUUCCCGCAAUGUCAAGCCUGACGCCCUGUCCCGACAGUUCCAGAGGACAGAGGAUUCGGUUGUUGGAGCUGAGACCAUCCUACCUACUUCCUGUCUUGUAGCCAUGUUGACCUGGGACAUUGAGGAGAAGGUGAGGGCAGCCACAGAAGGACAGUCGGGCCCCAGUUCCUGCCCAUCUAACUGCCUCUUUGUUCCACCAGCCUUGAGGUCAGAGGUGUUACAAUGGGCCCACUCCUCCAAGCUCUCCUGCCACCCUGGGAUUCAACGGACACAGCAUGCCCUCCUCCGACGUUUCUGGAGGCCCACUAUGCAAGAGGAUGUCCGGGAAUUCGUCAAGGCCUGUCCAACCUGCAGCCAACAUAAGACCUCCCGUCGGCCUCCUGCUGGGCUACUUCAACCUCUUCCUGUUCCUCACCGCCCAUGGUCUCACAUAUCUUUGGACUUUGUAACCGGUCUUCCCACCUCUGAUGGUCACACUGUCAUCCUGACCAUCGUGGACCGCUUCAGCAAGAUGGUCCACUUCGUGCCUCUGCCCAAGCUUCCCACUGCUAAAGAGACUGCCCAGUUGGUUCUGCUCCAUGUUUUCCGUCUUCAUGGUCUCCCUGUUGAUGUGGUGUCAGACCGUGGUCCCCAGUUUUCUUCCGUGUUUUGGAGGGAGUUCUGCAGUCUACUGGGUGCUACCGCCAGUCUGUCCUCUGGAUUCCAUCCUCAGACCAAUGGACAGACUGAGCGUAUGAAUCAAGAACUGGAAACAGCCCUGCGGUGCGUGGCCUCCCAUAACCCCUCUUCUUGGGCGUCACAACUUUUGUGGGUGGAAUAUGCCCACAACUCCCUCAUCUGCUCUUCUAUUGGCCUCUCUCCAUUCCAGUGUGCUUACGGCUAUCAACCACCACUUUUUCCAGCCCAGGAGAAGGAGGUCUCCUGUCCGUCAGUCCAAGCCUUCAUCCGUCGCUGCCGCAGAACAUGGCUCCAGGCUCGCUCCACCAUCCUCCGUUCCGUGAGUCGUUACGCUGCCAAUGCCAACCGCCACCGUACUGCUGCACCUACCUACCAAGCGGGUCAGCAGGUGUGGCUCUCUACCCAAGACUUACCUCUCCGGGUGGAAUCCAAAAAGAUGGCUCCAAGGUUCAUUGGGCCUUUCACCAUUCAGAGGGUCAUCAACCCUGUGACAGUCCGGUUGAAACUCCCACGGUCCAUGAGAGUACACCCUACCUUCCAUGUCUCCAAGGUUAAGCCAGUCCACAACAGCCCCUUGGUCCCUGCGGCACCACUACCUCCCCCUCCACGAAUGGUUGACGGUGGUCCGGUGUAUGUAGUGCGCCGCCUAAUUCGUUCGCGACGGCGGGGUAGGGGUCUCCAGUACCUUGUGGACUGGGAGGGUUACGGUCCUGAGGAGAGAUCUUGGGUUCCUGCUCGCCACAUUUUGGACCCCAACCUCGUGGCCAACUUUCAUCGGCAACAUCCUGACCAGCCAGCCAAUGAGUCAGCUCGUCGAGGAACCCGCUCCUUGCCCCCACCUGUCCAGGAUGUGGAGGACCGUUCUGCGGGGGAGAUGUCAGGUGUCAGAGAAACCCUCCUCCAGACCCCCUCCACCCACCCUGCUGAAGAGAUGACAAGGUCUUGCUCCCAGGAGUUUUAGGCCCACCUCCACCCCCCCCCCCCAGUUUAACCUUUGGGGAUGUCGGGAGCCAUCCCUUGAGGGGGGGGGGGGGUUCUGUAACAGUCUGCUCUGCCCCUCUCCUGCUCUGCUGCUCAGCCACACCCCUCAUCAGCUAACUGCUUCCACCUGCUGCUCUCACCUGCUCAUCAUCUCCAAUCAGGCCAGUAUAUAUGCAGCUUCUUUCCCCUCACUCUUUGCCAGAUUGUCUUCGCUCUCAUGCCUGACUCUCCAGCGUUAAUUCCCGGACUGCUUACCUGGUAUCGACCUGAUCUGCCCCUGACCUUUGCUUCUCGCCUCAGCCCCGGUAAACCUGCCUGCCUUCUGUCCUUGACUACGAGCUUUGCCUGCCUGUUUCCUGCUAUUCGUCUGCCUGCGGCUGAAUGGCACUCAGCCUGUUCCUGCUCUGUUGAGAGCCCCCUUCUCGUCAGCUUCACCUCGCCAACUCACCUCCUCUGCCGACGUUGGUUCUGCCAGCUCCUCUGCAAGCUCUGGAUCCUCACCCAGUCCUCACCUGAACCACUCUCCAAGAAAUCUUCCUCCAGCUGUGAGUUGAGCGUUUUCCCCUUUACUACACUCGUGGAGCAAAUUAAGACUGUGGACAAUUCCCUGCUCACGAGUCCAAAACUCUUGCCUGACCUGUGGUCCACUGCUAAUCUGCUCGCCUAUCACCCGGAAGACCCGAGUUCGAAUCCUGCCAUACCCACCUGCUAUACUCUGCUGCUUCAUUGGAUUUGGUGUUCAAUAAAGACUGUUGUUAAAGUGAACCUGCUUGUUUGUGCUGCAAUUGGGUCCAGUCAAUACCCGUUACAGAUCAUCCCAUGGUGCUGCAGAGAUGCAAAUGAGGGAACGUGACCCAGUGAGCAUGUCUUUGGAUUGUAGGAGAAGGCAGACAUACCUGUAAGAAACCCAUCUGUAUUCAGCAGGGACCAGGAAGCAUCUUGCUAUAAGGUAACAGAGCCCCUCACUGAGAGUCAAGUUUAUUUCUACAGCCAUUGAAAAACAUCGGGUAUACUUUUGUUUCUCGUCCUAGAGAUAAAACACCUUCACUUUUGAGUUCAGCAGGUUUUUGACUGUGUGCAGGGAAAGGAAAAACUCUUUGUGUUGUCUCUGUCUCUUCACAUUUCUCAUCUUGUACAACAAAAACCUUCCAUUUCCAUUAUUCCUGUUACAUGAUGCUGAAACCAACUUUAUUAUAAAAAUCUAAUUCCAUUUUCUUUUAAGUGUUUGGUCCUCUACCAUAAAUCAAGGUUAAAAGCACGCCUUCUCUAAGAGGACACAAGUUUCCUCUUACAGCACUCUGUUACAUUAAAAGCUGUUAAUGGACUGCAUUCAAAGACCCUUGUUGUAGCUGUGCACUACAAGCCAGCCUCACUUUUUCACACACAGUCAUACACUGUUCCAUUCCACGCUAUCAAACACUAAAAUUACUUCAGUUCAGGCUCUUUCCUCGGGUGCAAAUAAACCCAGUUCUUUAGAAUUAAUGGACCCCAUCCUACCUCCUGAGCCAACACAGCCACCCCAAGGGGAGCUCAUGCACUCCACAUGACAGUCAUUUAGUGAGCAUGUGCUCACUAAAUCAACAAAUGGUACCUUUUGGUUAUGUUUGAAAACAUUAGUCUGUUUCAUUCAUCGAUUACAAAUAUGAUGGUGAAAACCGCACAUAAAAAGUAACAUCAAGUACUCAUUAAACUGUAAAUUUAAUUGUAUAAAGGCCAAACUGAUAAAUAUCACUUCUCAUGCUUCUCAUGUGAGUGUUUCAGAAAUGUCAACGCCAAACUUCAAACGCAUGAGCACACAGUGGCACGAGGAUAAAACACUAUGAGGAAGAUGUUCAUAACUUUCCUACAGCAGUUUCUUAUUGAUGCAUAAAGUUAUCGCUCUGCAUUAUAUUCUUCUAUAUACUCUUAUAUAUACUGACAAAACUAAAGUGGAGUUCAAAAGUCCAUGUCUUUUUUGAAGCAGCAUACAAGUCAAUAAAGCAAAGUUUAUCAAAAGUAUUUUUUCUUCAUCCCUUUUCUGCACAAAGCAGCACAGUAUGCCUGCGCGGCACUAAAAUAGCUGAGGGGAUACAGAAAUGAUUUCCCCAUAUCUGAACAAAGAGAGACAGCGCUUCAUCUUACACCAUAUAUAAUAAAUGCAUCCAGAAGAAACACAUCAAUCUUUUUCCCAGGGUGGACGAUUGAUGGAGAUGAAGGCAUUCAUGUUCCAGAGAUAAGUAGCAGCGUGAACACACAUACAUCAAAAACUGUGCCACAUAAAGAAAACGCACAACUUCUUGUCUGACUCCCCUGAUGUGGAAGAUUUUACCGUUGCAAGUGAUUAUCAGAAUAAAAAUGGAGACACAUUACUGUUACCUCAGGCGCUGGGUGUACUGUCUUCAGAUGAGCCUCUCCUUGGAGUCAGAGUUGUGCAAUAUGGAAACUAAUUUGAAUCAAUAGAGGGGCAAUGUUAUGACAUCUUUAAACUUUUGCUUCAUGGAGCACAUCGAUAUAAAUAAAGCCAUCACUGAGGAGCUCUCUUGCUUUAUGCACCUUUGUCCAGAGAAGCGCUGGAUAAACAUCACUUGAGAAGAGCAGACAUGCAAAGUUAUCUCUAAUAAAACCAACCGAACACUCAAGUUAAGAGUUUAAAACUGAUCAUCUUAACUGCUAAUGUAAUACACUAAUUCGAUUUUAAUACAAAAGCUAUUAACAAAUCUUAUCCGCGACUUACUACUGCAGAGCAAGUCUGUCUGUCUGUUUGUUUGUUUACUCUUCUUAGCUGUAGAGAUUUGCUCACACCUUUUUUCCCCACUUCCCUUUAACAGUCUGACACAGUAAAUUUACAGCUGGAGCCUCCAUCAUUAAACCCUCUUUUGGUUUGCAUGGCUGUUCAGCCCAGUAGAGGGCUUCAAGACUUAUGUAAACUAUAGUCCUUAAUUGACCCUCCUGCCCAUCUUUGCUUAAGUAUAAACCACAUUACCAGGAAGGAAAGUGUAAUAUCAAUACAAAGAAACCCUUUUCUCUACAGCUAGCUGUAACACGUGUUCUAGGUCUCUAUCUGUACCCCAAAGUCGUGGAGUCUUGUUUAGUAAGGAUUAAGCUGUUUGACUUGGGGGGGGGGGGGGGGGGUGUUUAAAUUGUUUAUUGUUUUGUAAUGUUUCCACUAAAGUAAUGAUAAAUGAUAAAGUUGCCUGCCUGAACUCACCAUCAGGUGCUCUUCAAUAUAGUGUUAGUUCAGGCAGGUAAGUCAGGUGAUUUUAACACCUGCCCAUAUCAGCCAACAGCUCAGAGAUGACCUAAUGAACAAAUAUCAUAAGCUGUAUAGCCUGCCUCCACCCCAGUUCUGUUUUUCAGGCUAUUUCUAAUUUGAUGUACUGUCACUGAUGCCUGCUUCGUUCUGUAGCCCUGGGUUCUUCGCUGCUGCUCUCCCAGCCUCGACAUGCACGGUGUGUUCACUUUGCCUCAGGCUUUGGUGAAAAACACACGUGGAAGGGCAGCGAGCUCUCAGAACACAGACAUACCCCAAUACAUAUAUUUCUGCAUGUAAUAAUAAUCUUUUAACUUAAGUUGUCUUGACAGAAAUUUGCACAGAUAUUUCGGUAGACUUUAAUCAAGUCUUAACUUGAGUACUGGCAGUUAUAGUGUAAGGUAGAGAAAAGGUGAGGUGUUUUAAUGGUACACUGUGAUAUAUACAGUAAAAGUGUACAGUUAGAAGUUUGAAUUGAGGGAAUAAUUUUAGUUUCUUUCAGAUUUGGGGGUCAGCAGGAAAACCAUCUAGUGGAAAGAAAAAGGGAUGAAUUUUCUUAAAAAUUUGAUUUAACCAGGAAAACCUCAUUGAGAAAAACAAUCUCAUUUACAAGAGUGUCCUGGACAAGAAACGCAGCAGCACAAUAGUAUGCAGUCUACCCUGAUGUCACCCCGAACCAGUCUGCAAUCAUCAUCUCAUGAUGACUGAGCUUUAAUUAAGACCUUUUAAACAGCAUGCAAGUGCUACAUGAGCCUUUUUACAAACCAACUCCACUCAUGCUUCUUAAAUUGCUCAUCAGACUGUAAACAAAAACAAAACACAGGGAGAGAAAUCCCUGCUGAAAGUCUGAUAUCAGUAAAUACUGACUGCUCCUGAAGCCACUAAGGUGGACCACAGAGGCUAUGUUACCCACACUGACACACAGUGAUGUUGCAGUAUCGUGUGUAGAAGCUGAUUGUUAAACUAAAACAAAUAAUGGUUCCUCUUUAUGUGCUCCAAAAGCUAAAUAACUAACUGUGAGUUGUAAUUUGUUAUGCUUUUUAUCUCCACAAGUAGGUAGUGCCAGAAACAGCAGCGUCUUAAACAUUUUUAGAGUGACUGUUUUCUCUGUCUCAAACACUACCUGAGCACAUACAGGACAGCCUCAGCUAAGAAAUAUGACAAACCACUUUAACUGGAAGAGGCCCCUAAACUGACUGAAGUUGUUCAUAGAGACUUUACAGCAGAAAGCUUCACAUGCUGCCUUAUAUUUGUUGUCUUACAGUAUAAUCAGCUUUUCUUUUUUUCUUUUUUGAGAGAGAGAGAAAGGAUUGCUAUAUCCAGUAUAAACUCUACCUAAGUCUGUUCUGCCUGCACUCAUCACUCACUCUGGAAUAAAUCCCAUGUUUUCUCAUUUCUUGCCGCAGGUUAAAGUUUAAAUCAAUCCCAGCCGACCAGCUUGACCCUGAGUACAAAUCAUCACUUCUGCCUUGAACUUAGAUAACCUUCCAAUCAAGAGAACCGUGUGCAGGUGGUGAUCACUUCAUCUCACAGCGCUCUUGUGUCCCAGAAUUGAUGAAAGCUUGCGCUGAAGCUGGCGGGUCUUCUGCUGGUUCAUCAAGGUCUGUGGAGCAAAGUCUGUCCAUUCACACCCAUGAGAUGCUUCUGAAGAGAAACUCCUCAGGUCAGAUGACUCACAACACGUAGUGCUGGAAAAAAAGCGCUUCAACAAGUUAAAUUGCUCCCUCUAGAAUUUCCAACUUCAGCAUUAAAUAACAGAUGAUUUGAACUCAAAUAACUCCCAAGCACAUCCUAAAGUAGACAGACAGAAAAAUCUUUUCAUUGUGAUUUUUUUCUCUUGCUGUUCUGGCUUGAAAAUGCACCCACUCACAUUCCAAUUAUUCCAAAUGCAGAUAAGCAGCUUGCUGCAAUGUUGAAUGAGGUUCCUACUAUCACCACUGUAGUUAAUGAAUUGACCUGCCAUGUCGUUUGAACUCGUGCGUUUGUCACUCUCUUCAGCUAAUCUGUUAUUGCAGAAUUAAAUCAGACAGUAAAUCAGUCAGAGUUUAUCUAUGGUGGACACAUUAGUCAGACUUUUAAUGAUACUGAGAGAUGGUCUGAGCUGGUAAUCACUGAUGGGUAAGGUGUGUUAGCUUGGUUAAUGAACUGAGAAUAAAGGCCCUGCCCGCAUGCAAGACAUAAUGUAUAGUGAACAGGCAGUUAUGCAGGUUAGAUUCCCCAACAAAGAGCACAGGGCUCUGUUGCACAAGCUAUGUGUGCAUUAGUCACACUUAAGUUAGGGUGUCAAGUCUGAACUCAAGUUGUAACUUAAGUUUACCUUUGUUCGGUUUCACAAUGUAUGAUCAGGCUGCCCCCCGGCGUAGUGAUUAGCUGUUCAGAGCCACCCUUGUUGCAGGUUUUUACAAAUCAGAUGUAAGUAUUCAACACAGCUUGCUUUUGAGGAGAACCAUGAUACAUUUAAACAUUUUUUCUCCUCUUAGGUUCUUGCAUUAACAUCUGCUGCAAAGCACUGAACACGACCACAGGCGCUGCUGCUCAGAUACAGCUGUUGUUACACAAAGGUUCAUACCAGGAGAGUUCUGCUCAGGUUUUUUCUGCUUGUCUUUGGGUCACCCUGUUGCAGCAGGACAUAAGAGGCUACGAUGACAUCUAUGAUGACACCUGUACAGCUCCUGCCUCCUUUUUAAUUGAGCAAUAUAACACGUUAACCUUAAUAUAGCAUCAUGUGCGAAUGUACAUGCUGUGUCAUUGAGUGUGAAAACCGCCUACGUCUCCUCAUCAACAUGGCAGGCCGAGGCUCAUAUGUGUUUGAUGAUUACGUCUACAAGGUGUGACAUUUGGCCCAUGAACAGGAGUGCUGUAAUAAACCUGCAUAACUUAAUGGUGGGCUAAGUGGGAAUCAAACUCUACCAGCUCUGUAUAAGGAAUAGAAACUUAUAUCAUUUUCUUGAAUCUAUUACAUACAGUCUGUUUGUGAGAGCUAACUAACAAGAGUGCUGUCCAAGCACUGUUAAUGAGAAAUCCUAAUGUUACAAACAGGUACACAUUAUUGACCCCUUCAGAGUUAGUUAGUAGUUUGAUGAUUUUUGUGGGCAGGGAUUAGCUGAAGGCAAGGCAAUCCCUUUGGAACAAGGUUCCAAGACUACCUGUCAGAUGGGCGCCAGGCAGAAAUAUUGGUCUCCUGGAGUUUUGACGAUAACCAUAGGUGUACCACAAGGGUCAAAUUUAGGUCCUGCAUUUUUUACUGUUAAUGUCUGAGGACCUACUCAUUUUGAGUUUUUGACGAUAGCCAUGGGUGAACCUCAAGGGUCUUUUUAAGGUCCUGUACUUUCUAUUAUUUACAUCUAAUAAUGCAUCAGAUUUCAUAUAGUGCUUUAUCAGAGACCCUCAAAGCGCUUUACACUGGGUACAUCAUUCAUUCGCUCACACAGUCACACUUUGGUGGUGGUAAACUACCUUAGUAAUCACAGUUGCCCUGGGGCACACUGACAGAAAUGUGGCUGGCAGUUUGCGCCUAUGGCCUCUCCAACCACCACCACACAACACUCACAAUCAUACACCAGUGGAGGACACACACUGGGAACAGUGGAGGAAACACACUGGGAGCAAGGUGGGUUAAGUGUCUUGGCCGAGAACACAACAGACAGACUCAGGAUAGGGAGGAAUCGAACUGCCAACUUUCUGGUUAUUGGACGAACGCUCUACCUCCUGAGCUACUGCCGCCCCAUCUGUGAUAUUAUUCCUCUCUGAACAAGUUGUCAUGCACAUUUUGAAAACACAAUUUUGUAUUCCAUUACCCAGCAAGCUGUUGUGUUCUACACAAGGUAACAAUAUUGAAAUUGUGACGGUAUAAAUAUUUUGGUAUUUGGACAGACGAUAAACUCACAUUUGAAUACCAUAUAGACUGAUUUACCAACAAACUACAUCAAAAAAAUGGUUUUCUUUACAGACACAAAUCUACAAAUCUAACAUUUUUGUUGCCUGUUUUCCUCCUUUUUUAUUUAAUAGGGACGUGAGUUACAUGCAUGCAUCUGCAACAGCUCUUGGGCCUCUAGAUGUUGGUCACCGUUCUGCUGACAGACCACACUCAUCAUCACUGUCAUACAGUAUAUACUACUGCCCUAUGGUCCCACUUCAUGUUUACCUGCAGUUUGACAUAGCUUUGACGUCUGCCCUAAAAGGGCCCAUAGCAGGUAUGGCAUGAUUGUGUUAAACGGGUUUAAUCUGCAUUUGCUUUGUGAUGUUGAUGGCUUUUAAAUAAGCAUUUUCCUUGGUUUGCAAACUCAUUACUUUCCGAUGUCUAUGUAGGUGGUGUUUUAUUCAUGAAGCCCUUUUUGUCAACCUCUUUGUAUCAGUCAAGACAAACUAGUAUUAAUGAUGUCUAAAGUGCAGUUGAACAAGACAACUAGACAAAUCAAAAUAAUUAAACAGAAUGAAAAAUAAGCAAAUGAGUUCAGGUCUGCUGCUUUACCUCAUCCCUAUAACAGAUGUGAUCAGAACAAUCAUGGUACUGCUAUAUUAUCCUAUACAAUGGAUUAUUUCUGACACUUUAUUCUAAGCAAUCUUCGCUUAGAUAAUUACGUUUCUCCUGUAAUGGCUGAGGGAUAAUUGGGGGCAUGAUAUUAAUCUGAAAUGAGUUCAUUUUUUAACAAAUAGGAGGAAAAGGGCAGAAAUUCAUUAUGAAAACGAUGUAGAAUACAUACUAUAGCUGCGCAUGUGUGAUGAAGCUGAAACCUGAUUGAUUGAUUUGAUAAAGACUUAAAGAAAUAUUCAUACACUAUAUAGAUGAUAAUGAAACAGUUUUAAAGUCAUAUGAAGUCAGGCAUGCAAGAAAUACUGUAAGCAUGGGCUGUAAAUGGAGAAGUUUAUCACUCAAAGAUUUCAUACACGUUAGAAUAUUAUAAACUAGAUCAGCUAUAGAUUCCUGCCACUACUUAGGGUUAAAGAUUUAUCACAAGUCAACAUACUUUACUGUAUGUGCAAGUUUCUGCUAUUUUUUACCGUUCAUUCUUGCUUUGUUCUAAUUCAUGAAUAUAAAGUAUUGACAUAAUCCAAUCCUUAUUUUAUUAAAAUUUCUACUUUUUCACCCUUUAGUCCUAUUUGUUUGACUGCUUUAAUCUUAUUUUGCACUAACCUGCUCAUGAAGAUGCUUUGUUUGUUUGUUGUGUCGCUCAACAACAAUAAAAGCUUGAAUCUCUAACCUUCACCUUUUUAAAGGAAAAUCAACUUCUUCAUGUCCAUGUGAUGAUUGACAUCUCGAUUCUGGAAACUUGAACCGUAUUCAGUCAAAGAUUAGGGGGAUUGAGGAUUUUUAGGCAGAUUCUCUGGAUUAAAAUAAGACUAUUUGACUUGUUGGUGGUGAUUUCAUACAUGUCUGUAGAUCUCAAAUCAUCAUGCUUCAGUUUAACAAAGACAUCCUAAUGAUUCAUCUUUGCAAAAGAGAGAUGAAUAAUGUUCCCAGUUGGCUGUAAGCGAGCUGCAGCAUGGCUAAAAACGUGUUUGACGUAAAUUGCUUGAUUUUAGUUCUUGCCAUCAUGGCACCUUGAACAACCACCUCAGAUUGCUGUUAGCAGCAUAUUGUUGUCGGUGCAUGGCUCCCCGCUGUGUGACAUCACUUCUGCUUUACUUUCACUGUUAAAGCCAAUCCACCUCGUGAUGCUCCUCUGGCUUCAUUAUUUACAUGUGUGAGGCAAUUUUCUCAGAGCUGAUUGCGUCUGUCUCCACUCCGACUAAAGGAUAAUUGUGUGGAUGAUUUUAAUUUCUGUCACUGCAGCAAUAUAUUUAGGAAAAUAUCACCAGAGGUGUAUCGUGCAAACAUAAAUAGAGCGUAAAUUAAAAUGCCAUGAACAUACAUGACUUAAAUCACUGAAUAUUUUUACAUCCUGCAUACUGCGAUACAUACUUGACACACGAUUUAUUGAGGUGCGAAGAGGCUGCAGACAAAGCUGGCUGAUUUUAUUUAAAUAAGACGAAACUGAGAUGGCAUGAAAUGCAAAACAUGAACAGAGGACAAAAAAUAUGAAAAGAAAUUUAAUUUUGCUGUGACAUGCAUUUCAUCGCUGUCGGGCAGAAAACUUGUAACUCCAUAUAUCAUUCUCUCUUUUUUGCAUUAAUCAGUGCUUUUCACAUGCCUGUUAGCAGGCUUUAAAUUAUUCAACAGAUAAAAAAGAAUGAAAAAUUUUCUGUUGUUUGUAGGCUUUUAAUAUUCUCAAAGAAAAGCACAAUAUCAACUAGUUUGAGGAGAAGCAUUCAUUGUGGAUAUUAGGGACUAAUAGUGUGGCAUAAUGAGGACUGAUCAGAAAGCUAACUUCAAUUGAAAAGAUACAAAGUUUAGGUCUAAGCAGUGGAGGAGCCUGCAAGUGGUAGAUACAAAAGACUAAAAAAUUAUGUGCCAAAAACUGCAGCCUGAUAAUAGCUCUAAGAGACAGUCCAUCCCCAUUGGCCCUUCAGUGCUGGUUAACGAAUUACUUUUGUUAAGGUUCAACAGACCCCCCAAAAUUGUUGGAGUUUAUGACUUACAGCCUUUUCUCAAAGCUAUGCAGGGCUCAUUGUGUAACUCAACUCAUUUAAAUAUAUAUUAGACCUUAAAGUUAUGUAGGAUAGAAAACACACCCAUGUCUUGCUAGCUGUUGUUGGUGACUUUUGGAGAUUUUUCAUAAUACUCUCAAAUACUGUGGCUCGUUAAUGUUUCCAACAGGCAUUCAUGAAGGCUUUGCUCCAGUUUGUCAGUAAAUUGUAGUAAUAAAGCAUCAGUACUAGCUUGCAACACUCACAGUACCUUACUUGUUUUUUAGGUUUUAUUUGUUUCUGUCUGCGCAGGAACACAGAACUGUUGUUUCACCGGCAGAAAGACAGCAUGUCCUUGUUAAGACAACACAGCUUGUUACUAGCAAGCAAGUCUGUUCUGUUCCCCCAUCGCCCGCCAUCCCACCUUAUGCGUGUCUGCCUACUCUCCAGCUCUGUGGCAGUAUUGUUUACCCUGCUAUUAGAUGUACCUCACACAUUUAGACUGCAUACAUGUUUAACUUUUUCAUUAGUUAAGUUUUUACUCAGCCCAAGAGAGCCUAUUAUAAAGCAACUCUACUUCUCUGGCUAGGUUUUCUAAGGUAUUUCCAAUAUGGUGACCACCAUCGUCAUGUGCAUCGCCACAUCAGAAACCACGGGUGUCACCACUGAGACACAGUCCAUUUAUCGUGUGGUUUACAGUGUCACAUCAAAGGUCUAAAUUGGGAGGGGUUAUGUGUUUCCAUCAAAUGGUCCAGUUUGGUUAAGUACAGUUUUGUGCAGUAAACCCUGAUCUUCAGUGUGAUUCCACAGCUGACUGUACCCUGGUGCUUUACAGAGGAAGCAUAUUGGCUGUGUAAGCGACUUUAUGUCAAUCCAGCGUGCAAAUUGAUAGAUCAGAUUGUUCGCUAAUUUAAAUCCCAUGCUUAUCUUGCAAUUCCAAGAAAAAAAAAAAAAAGAGUGGAAAGUUUGCAGAUUUUUUUGACAAGCAGCCUGUGAAUCUUGGCAUGAAUAUACAUAAAAAAAUCACAAGCUAAGUCAUCUAAAACCUGAAAAAUAUAACAUAUAACAGGGUAAAAUUUACUAAUAAGACAACAGCAGGUUAAGAGAAUCAAGUACAAUCCUUCCUCUCCCCUCCCCUCUCUCAAUGAACAGGUUGUAGUGUGUUUCGCUCUAUCCUCUGGCAUCAUAUACUGUUUAUAUGAAUAAGGAUGGCACAAACUUAGUGUUUUGGUACCUUUACCUACUUCUGAUAGAGGGAAUGCAAAUAAUUACAUGCUGUCUCUUACCGAACUGAACCAGACCAAUUGGCAGAAAUUCAGCCUUGAUGUAGAACAUUUCAUACAUCUGUCUCUUAAUCCUUCCAUCUCACCUGCAACAUUUUCCAGCUCCUCCUGGGGGUUACUAGGGUGUCCCCAAGCCAGAUGGGACAUAUAAUCCUUCAAGAGAGCUUUGGGUCUACUCCCCAGUUUUCUCCACCUGCUUCCCUCAGUUUGAUGUGCCCUGAAAGACUCUAAAGGCAGGAAGCAUCCUAAUCUGAUGGACAAAACCCCUCAACUGGCUCCUUUCCAAGCGUUGACCUCUCAAACGCUCUGUCUAGGGUUUUAUUAGCAGGGUUAAGGUCUAGGUUUGAUGAGGAGCUGGUAUAGAAUAAAGCAGAGGUACCAUUUUUAAGACUUUUAGACUUCUUCAUUAUUGUGUUUAAUAGACAGACUGAAAACUACCUGUGACUCUCAAAAGUAGUUAGACUUUAGUGUCUUUCACAGUAAGUUUAAACCAAUAACACAAAAUAAAAUUCUCCCUUAAAACAAAAAUAAUAAAUUCACAAUGUCAUUUUUUUUUUGCUUUUCUUUUUUCAUUCAGGUUCCACCCAUUCUUAAAGAUGAAGAGGUCUUGAUGUCUUGAUUCCCGAGAGAGGUUAGAUGAAGGCAGGAAGCGCAUGGCGAGGAAGAGGGGAAAGCCAGAGCCACAGAGGAUGAUAAAGAUGUAGAAUAACAGAGACAUGUACUUCAUACCACUGGAUCUACACAGUCACAGAAAAAGGAAAAUAAAAUCUAAAGAAAACACACAAA
This 20970-nucleotide long non-coding RNA is filed under the name Xyrichtys novacula (pearly razorfish). Lineage: Eukaryota; Metazoa; Chordata; Actinopteri; Labriformes; Labridae. The record is from RNAcentral.